RNAcentral lists this ribosomal RNA (468 nucleotides) under uncultured bacterium. RNAcentral's name for it is "partial 16S ribosomal RNA". It matches the Rfam family "Bacterial small subunit ribosomal RNA", at positions 28 to 507 of the family's 1533-position model. The record is from RNAcentral.
GACGAACGCUGGCGGCGUGCUUAACACAUGCAAGUCGAACGGAAAGGCCCUGCUUUUGUGGGGUGCUCGAGUGGCGAACGGGUGAGUAACACGUGAGUAACCUGCCCUUGACUUUGGGAUAACUUCAGGAAACUGGGGCUAAUACCGGAUAGGAGCUCCUGCUGCAUGGUGGGGGUUGGAAAGUUUCGGCGGUUGGGGAUGGACUCGCGGCUUAUCAGCUUGUUGGUGGGGUAGUGGCUUACCAAGGCUUUGACGGGUAGCCGGCCUGAGAGGGUGAACGGCCACAAUGGGACUGAGAUACGGCCCCGACUCCUACGGGAGGCAGCAGUGGGGAAUAUUGCACAAUGGGCGGAAGCCUGAUGCAGCAACGCCGCGUGCGGGAUGACGGCCUUCGGGUUGUAAACCGCUUUCGCCUGUGACGAAGCGUGAGUGACGGUAAUGGGUAAAGAAGCACCGGCUAGCUACGUG